This 253-nucleotide ribosomal RNA is filed under the name uncultured bacterium. Its description in RNAcentral is "partial 16S ribosomal RNA". It matches the Rfam family "Bacterial small subunit ribosomal RNA", at positions 524 to 776 of the family's 1533-position model. The record is from RNAcentral.
UACGGAGGGUGCAAACGUUGCUCGGAAUCAUUGGGCGUAAAGCGCACGUAGGCGGCUUGUUAAGUCGGAUGUGAAAGCCCUCGGCUCAACCGAGGAAGUGCAUACGAAACUGGCAAGCUUGAAUAUGGAAGAGGGUCGCGGAAUUCCCGGUGUAGAGGUGAAAUUCGUAGAUAUCGGGAGGAACACCAGUGGCGAAGGCGGCGACCUGGGCCAAUAUUGACGCUGAGGUGCGAAAGCGUGGGGAGCAAACAGG